CGAGAGGGUGCAAGCGUUAAUCGGAAUUACGUGGGCGUAAAGCGAGCGUAGUCGGUUAUUUAAGUCGGGUGUGAAAGCCCCGGGCUCAACCUGGGAAUUGCAUUCGAUACUGGAUAGCUAGAGUUCGGCAGAGGGAAGCGGAAUUUCCGGUGUAGCGGUGAAAUGCGUAGAUAUCGGAAGGAACAUCAGUGGCGAAAGCGGCUUCCUGGACCAGAACUGACGAUCAGGCUCGAAAGCGUGGGGAGCAAACAGGAUUAGAUACCCUGGUAGUCCACGCCAUAAACGAUGACAACUAGACGUUGGGAGGGUAAGCCUCACAGUGUCGCAGCUAACGCGUUAAGUUGUCCGCCUGGGAGUACGGCCGCAAGGUUG
RNAcentral lists this ribosomal RNA (372 nucleotides) under uncultured organism. Its description in RNAcentral is "bacterial SSU rRNA". It matches the Rfam family "Bacterial small subunit ribosomal RNA", at positions 525 to 896 of the family's 1533-position model. The record is from RNAcentral.